GAUGAACGCUGGCGGCGUGCUUAACACAUGCAAGUCGAACGGAAAGGCCCAAGCUUGCUUGGGUACUCGAGUGGCGAACGGGUGAGUAACACGUGGGUGAUCUGCCCUGCACUUCGGGAUAAGCCUGGGAAACUGGGUCUAAUACCGGAUAGGACCACUUCUUGGAUGUUGUGGUGGAAAGUUUUUUCGGUGUGGGAUGAGCUCGCGGCCUAUCAGCUUGUUGGUGGGGUAAUGGCCUACCAAGGCGUCGACGGGUAGCCGGCCUGAGAGGGUGUACGGCCACAUUGGGACUGAGAUACGGCCCAGACUCCUACGGGAGGCAGCAGUGGGGAAUAUUGCACAAUGGGCGCAAGCCUGAUGCAGCGACGCCGCGUGGGGGAUGACGGCCUUCGGGUUGUAAACUCCUUUCGCUAGGGACGAAGCGUUUUGUGACGGUACCUGGAGAAGAAGCACCGGCUAACCACGUG
RNAcentral lists this ribosomal RNA (467 nucleotides) under uncultured bacterium. Its description in RNAcentral is "partial 16S ribosomal RNA". It matches the Rfam family "Bacterial small subunit ribosomal RNA", at positions 28 to 507 of the family's 1533-position model. The record is from RNAcentral.